RNAcentral lists this ribosomal RNA (253 nucleotides) under uncultured bacterium. Its description in RNAcentral is "partial 16S ribosomal RNA". It matches the Rfam family "Bacterial small subunit ribosomal RNA", at positions 524 to 776 of the family's 1533-position model. The record is from RNAcentral.
UACGGGGGGGGCAAGCGUUGUUCGGAAUUACUGGGCGUAAAGGGCCAGUAGGCGGCCAACUAAGUCCGACGUGAAAUCCCAAGGCUUAACCUUGGAACUGCGUCGGAUACUGGAUGGCUUGAAUUCGGGAGAGGGAUGCAGAAUUCCAGGUGUAGCGGUGAAAUGCGUAGAUAUCUGGAGGAAUACCGGUGGCGAAGGCGGCCUCCUGGUUCAAUACUGACGCUGAGGUGCGAAAGCGUGGGGAGCAAACAGG